This 759-nucleotide long non-coding RNA is filed under the name Homo sapiens (human). RNAcentral's name for it is "non-protein coding LINC01089:9". Lineage: Eukaryota; Metazoa; Chordata; Mammalia; Primates; Hominidae. The record is from RNAcentral.
CGGGGUUUGUAAUUUGGCCGUGGGUAGGUAAUUGGCUGGAGCAGGGCGGCAGGGCGCGGCAGCCAAUCAGCGCGCGGCUUCUAUAGGGCUUGAGUUAUUAGACGCUGAUCUCAAAACAUCCUUCAUCAGACACGAAGGAGAGGCCAACAGAUGAGGGAAGCCAUUUUUCUGCAAUGGAAUUAAAUGGCCAAGUGGGUUUUUCCUUUGUUGCAAAUGGGGAAUGUUUUUCCUUUGACUCUACCAUCCAGUUCAGGACGUCUCAGUGUGUUUAACAUUUGUCAACAGGCCCAAGGACUCACAGUUGGAAGACUGGAGAAGACUUUUUAAAAAGAUCUGGAUUUUUCCUUAUGACUUGGAAUCCAUCUUUGUCUUGUAUAACUAGGUCAUAGCACACCAUUCAUGUCAGCAGUUAACAGUUUUGAAUUCCAAAAAAACCUAAAGCAGUAAACAGUCCUCAGCGAAGCCGCCUUUUUGCCUACCCAACCCUGGAAAGUUUGCAGAAGUGGAAGGAGCAGAACGUGAGGGUGUAACUUACAAAAAGGUUCUGGGCCGGAGAAGGGGCGACGUUCGGGCACCCCCCGAAUGGACAAUCUUUCCUUCUGUCAACGGCAGGGGCAGGCCUAGUUUGACUCUGACAGUCCUCCCACUAAGGUAGGUGUGAGUACUUGCCCAGACCGUGAGGGAGAUUUGGGGGGCUCUGGCCUGCAGCCCAGGGAGGGCCGAACCCCAAACACGCCGGGCUGGUUCUGCGGCCCCGCC